GCGGUGGAGCAUGUGGUUAAUUCGACGCAACGCGAAGACCUUACCAGGGCUUGACAUCCCCUGACCGCGUAUGAAAGUACGUUUUCACCCUCGGGUGACAGGGAGACAGGUGGUGCAUGGUUGUCGUCAGCUCGUGUCGUGAGAUGUUGGGUUAAGUCCCGCAACGAGCGCAACCCCUACGUUUAGUUGCUAACGCGUGAAGGCGAGCACUCUAGACGAACUGCCGUUGACAAAACGGAGGAAGGUGGGGAUGACGUCAAAUCAUCAUGCCCCUUAUGUUCUGGGCUACACACGUGCUACAAUGGCCGGUACAGACGGACGCAAAGCCGCGAGGUGGAGCAAAUCCUAGAAAGCCGGUCUCAGUUCGGAUUGCAGGCUGCAAUUCGCCUGCAUGAAGUCGGAAUCGCUAGUAAUCGCAGGUCAGCAUACUGCGGUGAAUACGUUCCCGGGCCUU
This 454-nucleotide ribosomal RNA is filed under the name uncultured Pelotomaculum sp. RNAcentral's name for it is "bacterial SSU rRNA". It matches the Rfam family "Bacterial small subunit ribosomal RNA", at positions 929 to 1382 of the family's 1533-position model. Lineage: Bacteria; Bacillati; Bacillota; Clostridia; Eubacteriales; Desulfotomaculaceae. The record is from RNAcentral.